UACGAAGGGGGCGAGCGUUGUUCGGAUUUACUGGGCGUAAAGGGCGCGCAGGCGGCUCAUUUUGUCAGGCGUGAAAGCCCCGGGCUUAACCUGGGAACUGCGUUUGAUACGGAUGGGCUAGAGUUCGGGAGAGGAGAGUGGAAUUCCCAGCGUAGAGGUGAAAUUCGUAGAUAUUAGGAAGAACACCAGUGGCGAAGGCGGCUCACUGGCCCGGUACUGACGCUGAGGCGCGAAAGCGUGGGGAGCAAACAGG
Molecule: ribosomal RNA, 253 nt
Filed under: uncultured bacterium
Lineage: Bacteria
Description: partial 16S ribosomal RNA
Rfam family: Bacterial small subunit ribosomal RNA
Source: RNAcentral